Molecule: ribosomal RNA, 403 nt
Filed under: bacterium
Lineage: Bacteria
Also listed under: 1 other name
Description: partial 16S ribosomal RNA
Rfam family: Bacterial small subunit ribosomal RNA
Source: RNAcentral
UGGGGAAUAUUGCACAAUGGGGGAAACCCUGAUGCAGCGACGCCGCGUGAACGAAGAAGGUAUUCGUAUCGUAAAGUUCUGUCCUAUGGGAAGAUAAUGACAGUACCAUAGAAGAAAGCUCCGGCUAAAUACGUGCCAGCAGCCGCGGUAAUACGUAUGGAGCGAGCGUUGUCCGGAAUUAUUGGGCGUAAAGGGUACGCAGGCGGUUUAAUAAGUCGAAUGUUAAAGAUCGGGGCUCAACCCCGUAAAGCAUUGGAAACUGAUAAACUUGAGUAGUGGAGAGGAAAGUGGAAUUCCAAGUGUAGUGGUGAAAUACGUAGAUAUUAGGAGGAAUACCAGUAGCGAAGGCGACUUUCUGGACACAAACUGACGCUGAGGUACGAAAGCGUGGGGAGCAAACAGG